AUUGAACGCUGGCGGUAUGCUUAACACAUGCAAGUCGAACGGCAGCAUGGAGGAGCUUGCUCCUCUGAUGGCGAGUGGCGGACGGGUGAGUAAUAUAUAGGAAUCUGCCUUAUAGAUUGGGAUAACUACUCGAAAGAGUGGCUAAUACCGGAUGUGAACUACGGUUUAAAGCAGGGGACCUUCGGGCCUUGCGCUAUAAGAUGAGCCUAUACAAGAUUAGCUAGUUGGUGGGGUAAAGGCCUACCAAGGCGACGAUCUUUAGCUGGUCUGAGAGGAUGAUCAGCCACACUGGGACUGAGACACGGCCCAGACUCCUACGGGAGGCAGCAGUGGGGAAUAUUGGACAAUGGGGGAACCCUGAUCCAGCAAUACCGCGUGUGUGAAAAAGGCCCUCGGGUUGUAAAGCACUUUUGUUAGGGAGGAUGGUAGUUGAGGUUAAUACCCUGAGCUAUUGACGUUACCUAAAGAAUAAGCACCGGCUAACUCCGUGACAGCCGCC
Molecule: ribosomal RNA, 499 nt
Filed under: uncultured Lysobacteraceae bacterium
Lineage: Bacteria; Pseudomonadati; Pseudomonadota; Gammaproteobacteria; Lysobacterales; Lysobacteraceae
Description: bacterial SSU rRNA
Rfam family: Bacterial small subunit ribosomal RNA
Source: RNAcentral